UACGGAGGAUCCAAGCGUUAUCCGGAAUCAUUGGGUUUAAAGGGUCCGUAGGCGGUCUUAUAAGUCAGUGGUGAAAUCCAGCAGCUUAACUGUUGAACUGCCAUUGAUACUGUAAGACUUGAAUUAUUAGGAAGUAACUAGAAUAUGUAGUGUAGCGGUGAAAUGCUUAGAUAUUACAUGGAAUACCAAUUGCGAAGGCAGGUUACUACUAAUGGAUUGACGCUGAUGGACGAAAGCGUGGGGAGCGAACAGG
This 253-nucleotide ribosomal RNA is filed under the name uncultured bacterium. Its description in RNAcentral is "partial 16S ribosomal RNA". It matches the Rfam family "Bacterial small subunit ribosomal RNA", at positions 524 to 776 of the family's 1533-position model. The record is from RNAcentral.